Molecule: non-coding RNA, 770 nt
Filed under: Scolytinae sp. BMNH 1039996
Lineage: Eukaryota; Metazoa; Arthropoda; Insecta; Coleoptera; Curculionidae
Source: RNAcentral
AAAAGUAUUUUUUACUUAUAUUUCUAUAUUAUUAUAUUUUAAAUGUAAUAAUUUUUAGGAGAAUAAUAUAAUUAUUUAAAUAAUAAAUUAUUAUAAUUUGCAAUAGAUAAAUUUUUAUAUUUAAGAAAUUAAGAUAAAGUAAUAAUUUAAGUUUAAACAAAUUUUGUGCCAGCAGUUGCGGUUAUACAGAAUAUGCAAUAAAAAGUUUAAAAAAUUAGUUAAUAUUAUUAAUUAUUAAAUUUUAAAUUUGGAUUUUUAAGGUGAAAUUUUAAGUUUAAUUAAAUAUGAAUAUGAUGUAUGAAGCUAGUAAAUUUUAUAUUAAACUAGGAUUAGAUACCCUAUUAUUAAAAUAUAAUUAAAAUUUUUAUAUUAUUAUUAGUUAAAUUCUUAAAAGUAAAUAAAAUUGGCGGUAAUUUAUCUGUUUAGAGGAAUCUGUUUUGUAAGUGAUAUUCCACGUUUAUUUAUGCUUAAUGUUUUAAUUUACAUAUCGUCGUGGAUGAGAGUAUCUUUAUAAGGAAGUAAUAUUCAAUUUAAAUUUUAUAGGUAUAGCAGGUCAAGAUGUAGUUAAUAAUUAAGAAAUAAUGGAUUACUAUUACUUUAGUAUUGAAUUUUAAAUUUAAAAAUUUUAUGAAAUUGGAUUUAAAUGUAAUUAUUUAUAUAUUUAAAUAAUGAUUAAAGUUCUAAAUUAUGCACAUAUUGCCCGUCGCUUUCAUAUAAAAUGGAAUAAGUCGUAACAAAGUAGAUGUACUGGAAAGUGUCUCUAGAAACAA